Long non-coding RNA from Eucalyptus grandis, 1343 nucleotides. RefSeq lists it as uncharacterized. The record is from RefSeq and is a predicted model, not a curated record. NCBI's taxonomy places the organism in Eukaryota, Viridiplantae, Streptophyta, Magnoliopsida, Myrtales, Myrtaceae. The transcript has 2 exons.
CCGGUCUUCCCCUCAUCCCUAUCUCCUUGCUCUCUCUCUCCUCUCUUCCCUUCGUUCGACGCUUUCAGCUUCUGCCUUGCUUUCGUUCUUCUCGGUGGACCGAACUAUUCUGCCCCUUCUCCUUUCAAUUUUCUUCCUUGCAAAACUACCAAAAUUGUUGCCUCAAUUCCCUGCAAACUGCCAGGCGUUCCCUGCUCCACGCAUCCAAGCAGCAGUUGAAGCUGCCGCCCCCAUGUCCAUGACACCAGCAGCUUCGGUCUUCACGCCUACCCUCUCCACCACCGUUUGUUUCCCCUGAGUCAACCGAAGCUCCCCACGCUGACUCACUCCACUGAAUUGAAGCCCAUCUCCUCAUAUUCCUCUUCGUCCCUGCUCCACUACCGAAUCAAUCCAGUGAAGCCGAAGCAGCUCGCCCUCUCUCCACUUCGGCUUAUCCCCUAUGCUGCAUGUCUCCUGGUUGUCCGCCCAACGACCGCAAGCAGCUUCAUCUUCGUUGCUUCGUUCUUCUUCAACGUCGUUGCUUGAAGACUCCAACGAAGCAGCUGUCCACGAAGACUGAAACACCCCUAAUCGAUAGCUGCAACCCACGCGUCCGCAGCAUCUCCUUCGUUCGCUGCUCCUUCGUCCAGCAUCGAUCAACCGAAGCACCAUCUCCAGCGAAUUCGGCCCAGCACGUUCAUGCGUCUUCAGCCCACACGAUUUCAGCCCAGAUUUCGGUCCAUCUCAGCCUGAGUGAGCCCAGCAGUUGGGCCAUUUGAAGCCCACGAAAUUUGCAGCAGUCCAACCCAGUGAAGCAAUUUACUUAGCCCAUUAAUUAAGUCCAACAGCCCAAGUCUUGGCCCAGCAGCAAGCCCACGCCUUUUAGAAGCCCAGCAGAAUCAGAAGCCCGCGAUUUUGAGGCCCAAGCCUGCAAAGUCAGGCCCACCGAAUCAGUGGACUCAGCCCAGCUCGAGCAGGGAGCUUGUAGGCCGAUUUCAGCCCUAGUUUGACCCCGGUUGGCGAACCCGCUUUGGAGAGGAUUGACCCUUGUCGCGUGCUCGUUGAUUUGGUCCAAUCGGCUCGUUAAUCAAGUCCUUGGAUGUAGUAGACUUGGAUGUUGAAGAUCUCGAAAGUCCAGUGCAGUCUGCUGAAGGCUCCAGUUGAAGUGUAGAGGAUGAUGGAGAGGAGGAUAGGAACCCGUAGUUUGUAGAACCCCACUCUUGUUUGUAUACCUUAUUUUUACACUGGCUUAAGUUGAAUUUGACUUAAUAGUUCACCUUGUAUAUAUUGGUGCACUGGUUUGCAAUGUAUAUGUGAGUGAACGUUUUAAAGGUUUGAAAUUUAAUCCUACUAUGUUAUCCCAA